Long non-coding RNA from Acipenser ruthenus (sterlet), 997 nucleotides. RefSeq lists it as uncharacterized. NCBI's taxonomy places the organism in Eukaryota, Metazoa, Chordata, Actinopteri, Acipenseriformes, Acipenseridae. The record is from RefSeq and is a predicted model, not a curated record. The transcript has 3 exons.
CUCAAACAUUUACCAGGUUGCUUCUCUCUCUCUCCACCAUUUAGCUGGUUACCCCUGAUAUAAACUGAAUGUAACAGGUGGGACCGCGGGAACCAGGAAGUGUUAAUUGUUGGCAGUAUAAAUAUCGGCACCAUAAGGGUGCAAGAGAACCAGGUAGUCGAUGUGCAGCUGUGUUUUGGUGUUCCUGUGUUCCCGUGGUUCCCCCUGUGACGAGGGCGAGUCGGCGGAUAUUCUUUUGGACGUCAGUAUUCCGGACUCUCCCGAGGAAGUGGAACGCCGCCAGCCACUGUUUCUGCUAGUUGUCUUUCCCUGUGUUUAUCUUGCACAUUGUUUUUGCUUAUUAUUGUCCCUUGUUUGUUUUAGUUUGUGUACGCACGUUUGUAUUUGUCUUUACAGUUUUAAUAGUAUCGUGCAGCGUUUAGCUAGCUUUUAGUGUGUGUCUAUAGGAGCUGCGAGGGAGAGCGUCGCUAUUGUAGCUGCUCUGCUCUACAGAGCAUUGAACGUUUAGUCAAGUAAGGUGCUGGGUUGUGUUUUCUUUUUGAAUUGUGCACUAUUAUGUUUGGUGUGGCGAUUGUUUAGAGUUACACUUUUAAUAUAUUUACUUUAAUAAUUCACGUGUGGUUUCUUUUUGUUUAUUUUAUCACAGGUGGUGGUUGACUGCCCUUCUGGGCUUUGGUGGGUGGAGCAGCCAAAUAUUUAUUAAUUGGAUGGACGUUUCGCUAUCUCUCCUCUAGGUGUCGCUGGGGACAAUAAAUAAGCAAUUAUUCUAUUGUGCAAGAUAUAUGGUUAGGAUUGUGUGUAAUUGCACUGCAGCAAUUGUGGGUUUUAGUGUUGUUGUUGAUAAUAAAGAUUUUGUUGGCACAACCAAUUUCCAUUCUUUUGUCUUUUCAUUUAUUUGAGAGGGGCUCUGUGUGGGGUACCCAAAUAUUGCUGCUAGAUUAAUAAGGUUAUGUGAGGUUCUAUUUCUCGUUAAACUAUAGAUGGCGUAGUCUGCAUC